CCUACGGGGGGCAGCAGUGGGGAAUAUUGCACAAUGGGCGAAAGCCUGAUGCAGCGACGCCGCGUGAGCGAAGAAGUAUUUCGGUAUGUAAAGCUCUAUCAGCAGGGAAGAAAAUGACGGUACCUGACUAAGAAGCCCCGGCUAACUACGUGCCAGCAGCCGCGGUAAUACGUAGGGGGCAAGCGUUAUCCGGAUUUACUGGGUGUAAAGGGAGCGUAGGCGGCAAGGCAAGUCUGAUGUGAAAACCCGGGGCUCAACCCCGGGACUGCAUUGGA
This 275-nucleotide ribosomal RNA is filed under the name uncultured bacterium. Its description in RNAcentral is "partial 16S ribosomal RNA". It matches the Rfam family "Bacterial small subunit ribosomal RNA", at positions 338 to 630 of the family's 1533-position model. The record is from RNAcentral.